Gallus gallus (chicken) is the source of this 10221-nucleotide long non-coding RNA. RefSeq lists it as uncharacterized. The record is from RefSeq and is a predicted model, not a curated record. Lineage: Eukaryota; Metazoa; Chordata; Aves; Galliformes; Phasianidae. The transcript has 5 exons.
GGUGAUAGGGUUGAAGCAACAGGAUGAGAGAUCUCAAGCAUGCUACUGAAUGUUGUGCUCUGACAAAACGCCAUAGCUUCCUUUAUCAAGACAGCUGUGUUUUUAAAUAAAUGAUCUUAAUUUGGCCUGCAGAAGGAUUAUGCCUGAUACUCAAAUGUAAUACCUUGAAAGGUCACCUUGACUUCCUCAAGAAGUUUAAUUCAAGGCAUUCAGGAUGCCAGACCAGAAGGCCUCCCAGACUGAGAUCAUCUAGAAACUCCAUUCUAUCUGAACUACAGAAAGUCUAGGGAAGAAAAAAAAAAACUUUAGCGGGGUAAACUCUGCAACAAGCUUAAAAGAAUUCCAAGAGCAAGAUGUAAAUUCUUCAGCCAAUGGAGUUUGUGGCAUAUAUUCAACAUCUAUUGUUACAACUAAGACAGACUGAUCUGAGCUGAAAAUAUCAAUAACAGGAAUUGCUGGAACAACAUAAGCCUGCUUUGUAUGCACAUCUUGUGCUGCUGGGGAGCCACUCCUACCUCACAAUACAGUUUGAUUUGACACCAAGUUCUCCAGCAGAAAGGAGACACAUCUGACAGAAGGGCAGCCCAUGGAAAGACAAAACUGUCAAAGAAAGAAGGAAGCGAAAACAAUCCAACUGAGCAUUUCCUUGCAAUGCAUCCUUUCCCUGGGAAGACAAGAAACUGCAUUUCAGCUGCUGUAGAAAAAGCACAAGCCAGAUGUGGAGUUCAAUGCCAGUGCAUCGACUAACAGGACAAAAAAUGUGCACAGGAGGUGUCAAACCCCAGAAUGCAGCAGCACAGAGGAGCUGAAGGGGUUCUUUCUUCUCCUCCACUUGGGUGCUUCAAGCAGUGGAGCUAAUGCAGCUCCAUUGGCGGAGCAGAUGAGCAUGGCAUCCUUAAUGCCCUGUGGCCUAGCAGAUUAAUUGUGCAACCAUUGUCCUCCCACUUUUCCUGCAUAUUAAAUUGGAGCUAAUGAGUCAUUAUCUGUGGUCUGCUUGGAAGAAUGGGUUGUUUGUUCAGCACUUUGAAAUCGUAAAUCAAUAUAUACUGCAAACGUGAUGUGCUGCCUACAACUUCAUUCAACAGAGAGCAGCAUUGGACAGGAAAAAAUGAUGUAUCACCCUGGCUCUUAAUGCUGCCCUCUGCAGAAUCUGGUGAUGCGGGUGACUCCUGGGUGUCUGUCUGGAGAGCAAGUAUGAUGGAAGGGGGCUUAUUCACCAUCUCCUGUGGGCAAAGUGAGCAAACCUAAAUGAAGUAAGAGGAAGAUAUAAAUGGUGAUCACCUGAAUCAUUCUGACAUCCAUAGAGUUACUAUUCAUUUAGUAAGCCAAUGACACAAGUAUUUCCUUUGGUACUCCAAGGUUCUCUCCAGGCAUAUCAGGCAGUAUUUUCAGACAAGCACUUAAAAAAAAAAAAAAAAAAGGAAAAAAAAAAAAAGGAAAAAAGUCACAUACAUUCUGUGGCUACUUCUUAGGAUUGCCUUAAAUGUUGUCUUUAGAAUUCAAGGAAGUUUAGGAAAAAAAUCUAUUUCUCUUUCUGACAUAGCAUUUUCUGAGAUAGGUUGCAGCAGCUUUCAGGGCUCCCUGGAGUACAGCAUUUUGAGAGAGAUAGCAUUUCCAGGCUCUGUUCAGCGCCACACCACCCCCUGUGCUUCUCCUCCUUCACUCCAGGGCUCUUCCCAGGGAUGCUCUGAAAAUAGAGAAGAUUUACCACCUGUAGGACUGCAGCUGGUACUGAAAGACUGCUGGAAAAAAAAGAAAAAAAAAAAAAAAGGCAAAUAAGGUUCACUGUAUUCACAUUUUGCCAGUUCUCUUCAACAAUUGACAAGUCCUAACAAAUCUCUGCAUCAGUAUUUCUAAGAUAUAGUUGCAAGAAGCUGCGCUUAGGUUUCGGUUUUCAGGAUUAACUCUGCCUUUUUAUUUUCUGCUUAUGCUGUAAGCAUAACGCUCCAGGUUAAGGGCUUAAAACAGAAUUUACAGUGAAUCCAGAGCAUAUACUCAUUUGUGUGACUUUGUAAUUGUAAUUCUGAAUGCAAAAAUGUUACCCUUCCUUUUCCUGUGGUUUGCAAUGACAUGUGUGACAGUAAGCAGUGUGACCAAGACUGAAAUUCAUUAUAUGCAGUCCACCUCACCUUACCCAAAAUACGUGGAUGACUGUUAAAAUACCAUAAUUAUGCACAAAGGAGAAAGAAAGAGGGAGAGUGUGUUUUUUUUCUUUUUUUUCUUCUCCUUUUUUUCUUUUUUAAUUUAUAUCAGGCGUUUUUCUUUCAAAAAAUCCUUGUGAGUUCAGGAGACACAGUUUUAUUAAUAGCAUGUUUCAGGUUUAUCUUCUCCACCAUGUGACUUGCACUAAGGAGACACCUUCGCAAGCAAAAUGGAAGGGACAAGAAGAGGCUGGUUAUGCAGGAACAGCUGCUUGUUUUCAGCAGCAUCACUUGAGAGUUUUUCACAUUCUCCUUCUCCGCCUCUCCCCAAAUGUUCAGCCUGCUGUGUGCAAGCUGGGUGUUUACUGUUCAGGACUAUGGAGGAGGAGGAAAUAUUUUGCCUAUUGUUCAGUGACGUCAAUGGCUUCGCUCCCAGUCACUUGAGGGACACUGGUGCUGAGCAAAUGUCAGUACACUGCUGCUACUGCAUGUGCAUUACAGACGGCUUGCAGGAAUUUAAGGUCUCUCCUCCAAGAUAGAUCCUGUUGGUGGAUGAGGCGGGUGUGAAGGGCAAAGAGCAACCGCCAUGGAAAGCCGCUCUGCUGCUUUUUGCACAGGAAAGCAUUACAUGCUACAUUUUGUUGCGGUAUUGAUAUAGCAUAUUUCUUAGCAUUAAAUGCUGCACUGAGCAUAAAAAACAUCUUUUUAUCCUGCACCAAAUCUUUCCCUCUCACACUGCCUUCGUCUGUAUUAAAUCAAGGUUCUAAAAAUAACAGAGAAGACACUGAGAAUUUUAUAAUUAAUCAGGAUAAAUAUUUAACUCAAUUGCUGACUGUAUUCAGUGCUUUUCUGAUAUGCUGUUGCUAUGUAUUUUGUCACCAGAUGUUGAUAACUGAACUGCAAAUGUAUUUUGCUGAAGGUUUUUUUUAUGCUCAGAGCUGAUUUUAUUUUAAUGCAGUAUUUGCGAGAGGGAAGUAUGGGUGCAGUUGAUGUUCCUAAAGGAACAGCAAUUGGAAAGCCUCUCCUUACCCACUUAUUUUGCAUUAAAACCUAUUUGAAAUUAUAUUUUGCAAAUUUUGCUGCCUAUAUCUGUGAGUGAAAAAAGGGUAUCUACUGCUUUCACGUACAUAUGAGGGAAGCUGUGGUUUUAGAAAGUGCUGAGGAAUUGAUGUUUGAUGUCAGUACCUUAGUUGUUCACAUUAGGAUUUUGUUGUUGAAAUAGGAGUGGCUGGUUUCAAAAAAGUGACCCGUUAGAUAUUCAAAUGGAUCUGUGGCUCUGGAUGGAACCAAAAGUUCAGCUUAAUAGCUAUUUUUAUGUGAGACACCAGAUUUGUUUCAUAUUAAUGAAAUAAGCAUAGUGAAAACUUCAAGUGUUUUGAGGGCUGAUUACAGCUGGCAGUGUUAUGAAGCACUAUCACAAUACUUCCAGAUAAAGGGAGAACAUAAGUUAAUGUUCCCUUUUUGUAAGGAAAAACAGGUGAAUGCAGAGACUAGUGCUGCAUUUAUGGUGGGAAAAUAAAGGGUCAGAUAAAUCCGUAUUAAUAUUCUAAUUCUUGACCAAGCCACUGGCCAUCAUCCAUUGCCUACAGGUAUAGACCGCCACAGAAAAGAGGCCAUAAGUAGCCUGGAUUUUGAAAAGAAAGCUGUAGAUGGUUUGAGCUGAUAUGUAUUUAAAUCUAUAUGAGUUGCUCACGUGUUCAGGCCAUUCACUGAUCAGUAGAAGAGGGCCUUUCCCCAUAAUACUGGAUGACUGGAGAAUGAACACAAAUUUGUUCAAUAACAUAUAUUUAAGAAAAAAAAAGUCAAAAGAAAGUAAAGUUUCAUAAAAGAUAAUUGAAAUAAGGAACAUCAGCAGUUUCCUGUAACUUGACUCACUUUUGCAUGUGAUUUACAUUCCUCAAUUAUAUGAUCACAUAAUUCCUGUUUUCUUUUCUCCUCCAAAGAAUGAGUGGCUACUUGCCUCAACCUUUGCAAGGGCAGUAUUAUUAUUGGAAUGUAAAAUAUUAGGAGGCUAAGAUGACAACUAUUUUCCUUGAUCUCAUCAUAUAGUCUAGCAGACCGUCCUACAACAGUCUGGAGAAAUUCAGGAAAAGUCUGUAUUGCUUUGUGUAUGCACACUGCAGCCAGACAUCUUGGAAAAUUUAGCUAAAGACCUCCAAAGGCUCUAUCUGAAGCACACACAAACUGCAGUUUUUUUCAAAUGUUUGCAACUUGUCAAGUUGAAGCUGCCUUUUUUGAGGUGUAAAAACACAGAGAAUUCGUUUAUCAUCUGAAUUUCAAAGUGCAGAGGCCAAAACUGUUUUGAGCAAAACUGUUGUAAGAAUUUUCGUAUGUAGGAAAUAGACCUUUUAGGUUCUUACAUAAUAUUUUAACUAGAAACUCAAUGCAGCAAUGCUACUCAGCGGGGGGAAAUUUCAGAUCAAAUAGUUAAAACUGGAGAGAACGCGUUAAAGAAAUUCUUAAAAAAACAUAAUGUGUAUUAUGUUACUAAAUUUAUACCUUGAGAGGCUGAAAUAGAAGCACAGUUGAUAUAAGGUAAGAAAGAACUUAGAUUCCAUUUAAGGACUCCCUUUAGAAUCAUAAAUCAGGAUUAGAAGGUGUAGCAGAAAUACUAAGUCAUGGCCUGAACGAGUGAUUGAGCACCUGGUGGGAAGUCAGGGCCAACCCAGGGGAGCUCAGGUGUAUGCAAUGCACCUGAACGGACGGAAGGGGUGGGACCAGGAUCCACACCUUCCCAGACCUUGUUUAAGGGUUGGCAGCAGAGGUGAGAAAAUCUCUCUGGAGAUCCCUGUGUACCUGAGACUCUCUAAAGAAAUGAACUGUAUGUGAAAAGAGAAGAACACAGCAGGCAUGCCAGCUGAGCACAGCAAAUGGGCAGGUACUGUGGUCUUGUGGAGCUGUGUGAGAACUGCACCAUCCCAGUCCCAGGAAAAGUCAUAAGCCUCAAUAUCAGAGAGCUUCUCUUAGCACAACCAGCCAAAGGAAUGAGGAAAAGCAAACCCUACGGCAUUUGAACUAAAAGGAUGAGUUCUGCGGCUGCUACAUUUUAACAAGAAUAAUGUACCUCAAUUUUAUUUGAAUCCAAAAACCAGCAUGCUUUGCGGAAGGAUUUGUUCUGAAAACAUCUUUGCUCUCUACUGAGCUAGGCUGGACUGUGAGUUCAACACAAAGGGUCACAGGAUUGCACUAAAUACUCUGUUGAAUGAAAUUAGGAUUCUCUGUGCUGCUUCAACUGGAUGUGUUUUUCUUUACUUCUGAUUUUAUGGGUGUGUAGGUGGCAGGUAGUCUUUUAGUACCAUUAAUUCAAUACUUUUCCCUAAUCCUACAUUUAAUUAUAUUUCCAAAACAAGUAAAGUAUUUCCACAUGUAUCCAGUAAUAGUGUUCCUUUUUUUUUUUUAGGUUUCUCUCAGAAAGUCUGGGACUCUGAAUUUCUCUGACUAUAAUCAGAACUGUCCAUAUUACAAAUCUUUUUUGACAGCAAGAUUCUGAAGGAAGUAUGACUGGACAAUACUUUAGCUUGUUAGGCAUGCACAGAUUUAUUUGGUUGCUAUGGCAAAUGAUCCAGAGCUACAUGCGACACUGAGCUUUCAUAGUACAAAUGAGAAAGGGCAAGGUAGAAUAAAAUGAAGAAGGUGUUAACUGGUCUCCAUUGGCUUUCCAAAGCAGUCUCUCCUCACUUUGCCUGUUUUCUCCAUGCUUUAGAUUUCUUCAUCUGACUACUAUGGAACAACACUGGAAAAUGUCUAGUGUGUAAUACAGAACAAGCCAAUAUAAAUUUAAGUUAAUGCAUAAAACCAGGCAUACUAUCCUUUCUCUUCCCCACAGCCUGCUUCUUUUCCUUUCCAGUACUUUGGAGGAUAAUAUAUUUUGUACUUCAUAGACAGUUUUUGGGCUAUUCCCAUUUCAAAGAAAUGAGUGUAUUUUUUUUGUAAUAAUCAAGCAUCAAUUUGUACAGACAGUUAACCAUUUUCUUAUACUCCAAGAAAUUUCAGAAAAAGACUGAAGAACAUAUGUAUUUCCAUUCUCAAUAAGCACAUGGUUGUUAUACUAAUACAAGCUGGAUUGAAAAGUCAGUAGCUUAAUUUAGGAAGGUGGCCAGUAACUGUAAAGAAAAGCUAAGGAAAAUUGACUUUCCAGGAGGCAACCAAAGUUAAGGAUGCCAUAGAAAUCCUUCACAGAGAAUAGAUAUCCAUAGCAUUUUUGUGUUUAAAAUAAAUAAUUUUCAAAAAGCAUAGUGCUAAAGAAAACAACCAAAAAAAACUACUAAGUUGUCAGGUCUGUAGGGUUCAAAUGUCCCACAUCUUCCAGACCAAGUUGGCAGUUGCUACUUAGAAGGUAACCCAAGAGUGGAAUAUCAUAUGGUGUUAACUGUCAGGACUGAAGUGCUUUGGUAGCAGUGUGUGUGGGAGGCCUGCACAGAGCCUGAUUGCAAUGUGCCUAACAACCAAAAUUGUUUUGCAUUACGUUCACCACAAAUUGAAAAUAUAUGCAAUAUUUACUCUAAUACAGUUUUUGGCAAAGAUUACACCUCUAAUGGUCUGAACAAUUUAAGCAAGCCUGGGGAUCUUGCUGAGGGCAGUAAAUUAGAACACUUCAUUUGUAGAAAAAGAAUUUGUUACACUCCACUGUAAAAGCCAAGCCAAAGUUGAACUAUGCCCUUUAAAAUAAUAAAACCUUUUCAUAAGAUAAACCAUUUCCAUCUAGAAAACCAUCAAAUUCUGACCUGACUGACAAAAGCUGAACAAUCUUGCCAUAGAAAAAAUGUAAUUUACACUGCAUCUCAAUUUGUAUUUUUGUUCCCAUUUUAUUACUUUAUAUAAAUAUUCUAAAUAUUAUAUAAAUAUGUUAUAUUCUAUAAUGUAGACUAUAGCAUUACAUUUCUAUAGCAUAUACAAAUUCUCACUGGUUGAACAAACAAAACAAUGAUCUUUGGAAAAUUUUCUAAUGAUCUGAAGUUUUUCAAAAGCUGCUUUUACAAAACCCAAAUUUUGAAUUAUGUUUGAAACUUUCUGUCCUUUAAAAAUAAUAUGUAUAUAACGAUAUAAACUGUGUUUUAAACUGUGAAAAUAAAAAAGAUGUAUGAACAAAACUGUCCUGCAGUUUUGGUGGUGAGGCCACUUGAAACUACUAACAACAAGAACCACAGCAAGCUUUUGAAAUCUCAAGUAAGGCUUUCAAAAUGAGUAAAUGAAGUACUACUUCUGACUAUAAUUCAUCAAGGCCCUUUGGUGCUAUCACAGAAAUAUUUAUUUACUCUACUCCUUUUUGUCCAAAUAGCUGUCUCUCUUCUCUCUACUGCAAAUUAUAGUACCCUCAUUCCUUGAUGUGCAGAAUUUUACAAAACUGCUGUGAGACAUAAUAAUAUUAUAAUCUCAUUAUAAUGGAACAUAAGCUCUGUAGAGACAGGUUUUGUGAUGCGUUUUGAAGUAGAUCAGGAAUUUGACCCAGCUUCAGCUAAAUCCCAAAUGCAGUGGAUCAAUCGUUACACCAUUUAGGAUAAUUUAAAGAAAAGGCUCUGUUGUUUUGGAGGCAUACUUAAAACAUUUUCAUUCAGAACCUUACUUGGCAAGAGUUACUGUGAUUUUUUGGUUUGGGUUUUUUUUUUUUUUUUUUUUUGUAGUAAAACAUCAAAACAAUGAACGAAAACAAGAUAAAAAACUAACCUUCAGACAUGAAUCACCAGUUCUGUAGUGGUUGGUAAGUUAAGUUGGUAAUCUAUAACGUUACAAUUCAGAGCAAAAGCUGGGUAAACAGAAUCUUGAAUGGAUCCCAGAGCAGAUCAAAUAGUCAGCAUUUGUUCCUGGCAAAGAGGUCUUCUAAACUGGAAGCAGACACCCAACACAAGAAGUAAUCUUUAAGAUUUUUAUCCUGACUUAAGGCCAUGUUACACUUAUGUUCCACAAGAGGAAAAGUUAAGUAAUGCAAGAGAAAAAGGUUGUCUUCAUCUUCCAUUUAAGGAAACAGAGUCCACAAAACUUAGUUAUUUAGUAUGGUUCCAGGUAUUAAUACAAAGAUACAUAUUCUCUGUGUUGUCUUCCUGUUAAACAGCUGGUAAUAGCCAGUGGCAGAAAUUUAAGGUGGAAGUGCCCUCUGUAGCGUCCAGCAAAAGCUUUCAAUUUCUACAGCUGUUGUUGUGGAGAAAAAAUAUCUCAAACAGUCUUGUUUAUUUGUCCUCUGUGUGUUUUCAGAGAUUUCUAAAACAUUGUUUGUCUCUAUGUUAUUAUUAAGCUUAUUGUUAUUAAUUUCAAAGUACGUAGUUAGGAGUAACAGAUCUUUGGAAACUGUUGGGAGUCUGUAUGUAUCAUUAUACUGAUGUGUUUUGAGAUUUAGAACUGGUUGCAGCUCUAAAUUGUGACAAGAUGGCAGCAACUUGGAGUGGUACCCAAGCUAGCUGACUUGAGGUAGCUGAACACCAGGGGUGGUAGCUCAGCUGAGGCACUUCAGUGUUUUGUAUGGAAGAACUCACUGUUCUUGGCUGCCUUUUUCUUUUCUGUCUUCCAGUCUCUUCUGCAAUAAUCCAGAUUUUGUUUCAGUGUCCUUGCUAGUCAUAAUUAUGCACCGAAGAAUUUAUGCAAACAAAUUUCAGCUUUUAGGUAGCUUUUUCUAUUCACCUACUUCAUAUACAGUAUCACUCACUAAGUCACACUAUUGCUUUUGACCUCUGAGUCAUUACAACAUUGCUACAAGAAAGAGUUAAUAAAUAAUGGAUGAUAAGACAAAAUACAACCAGAGCUUCUUUGUGUAAACUUCUGAAUUAAUUCUGGGACUCACCACUCUUCUAUGAACAAACUACCAGGCCUCAGAAUAGAACUAAACUAUAAAAGAAAACAAAUAAUAAAUAGAUAACACCUAAAUGUUCUGUUUCAGUAAAACCUUCAGUAUCAAAGGUAAAACUCUCAAUGAUUUCACCGAGGUAAAGUUUUUAGUGUUAUUUAUGAAUAUUUCACUAGGAAUUCUACCAACUUGGUGAUUUGCUGAAUUUUUAUGUUUGAUGGCAUAGUACAAAAACAUUAGCUGUAAUUUUUAAAGUUUUAAUUAAAAUUAAGAGUAUUCUGAGUAUUUUUAUUUCCAAAAAAAGCAGCUGUUAAUAAUAAAUAGGACUGAAUUCUCUAAAAGGUAAUAUGGAACUGUUUCUUUCUGUUUGUUUGCUCACUUAAAGAGCUUUGAUUAACAGUAAUGACAAGAUCUGAAGGUAAAGAAAGGUCUAACCUGAGAUUGUUUUUUGAACCCCCAACAGAGCCUUCAAGUCUUGCUCAGCAGUUUUGUUAUAUAUUCUUGCAGAUGUAUGUAGGACUGACACUGCUAGACAUUAGUUAUCAGAUCUAGAAAAUCUCUCUUCUUUUGACAUUUUAAAAUGUUCUCAUUUGAGCUGUAAAAUCACAAGCCACACUGAGAAUCCUUUCUGUAGAAAAGUGAAAGAAAGUACCAAAGGGUUAGGUCUUAACUAACACUCAAGCUAAAUCAAAAUGCCAGGGAUUUUAUCCUACUAAGGCAAGGCCAAGAUGGAAAGGUGGCCCUUAUUCAACAGGGAUUCAACAGCUCUCUUCCAUACCGUAAAUGCUGGCAGUUCUGCCCUUUUCCAUCAUGCGGUUUGGAGAUGCAGAGAUUUGACAUCAAUCCCUCUGCAGAGAAAAACAUUUCAUAAAAAGACAGGAGUCAGUGUGUCCUUGCUCCCUAGCAGGAGAUGCUGGUUUUGACUUUGAAUGUCCUAUGUUCAUAUACUUAGUGAAGUCAGAAAGGGUCACUUGUAACUGCAUCACCACAGAAUUCUAGGUGAAAAUAUAGAAGAGGUGCCUACUUGCUGAAGCAUAAUCCUCUUUACUUCUCAGUGCUCUGUCAGGAGGAUGUCUAAAGAGUCAGGAGUACCAGAUACUCAAACAGAGAAGGUCUUGUAGGUGAAGUGGUGACUGAUGGCCAUCUUGGCCAUAGUGACCUUGAAGUAGUCAACUUUAACAUCUUUGGUGAUAGGAGGAAAACUGUCACCCAAACUCAGUUUUUACACCAGAGGACGGUGGGCAAGGAACAGGCUCCCUGGGACAGUGAUUACAGCCCUAUGUGCCAGAGUUCAAGAUGCAUCCA